ACGGAAGGCAGCAGUGGGGAAUAUUGCACAAUGGGGGAAACCCUGAUGCAGCGACGCCGCGUGAGUGAAGAAGUAUUUCGGUAUGUAAAGCUCUAUCAGCAGGAAAGAAAAUGACGGUACCUGACUAAGAAGCCCCGGCUAACUACGUGCCAGCAGCCGCGGUAAUACGUAGGGGGCAAGCGUUAUCCGGAUUUACUGGGUGUAAAGGGAGCGUAGACGGUAUGGCAAGUCUGAAGUGAAAGCCCGGGGCUCAACCCCGGGACUGCUUUGGAAACUGUUAAACUAGAGUGUCGGAGAGGCAAGUGGAAUUCCUAGUGUAGCGGUGAAAUGCGUAGAUAUUAGGAGGAACACCAGUGGCGAAGGCGGCUUGCUGGACGAUGACUGACGUUGAGGCUCGAAAGCGUGGGGAGCAAACAGGAUUAGAUACCCUGGUA
RNAcentral lists this ribosomal RNA (434 nucleotides) under uncultured Lachnospiraceae bacterium. Its description in RNAcentral is "partial 16S ribosomal RNA". It matches the Rfam family "Bacterial small subunit ribosomal RNA", at positions 341 to 792 of the family's 1533-position model. The record is from RNAcentral. Lineage: Bacteria; Bacillati; Bacillota; Clostridia; Lachnospirales; Lachnospiraceae.